This 2791-nucleotide ribosomal RNA is filed under the name Escherichia coli SWW33. RNAcentral's name for it is "bacterial LSU rRNA". It matches the Rfam family "Bacterial large subunit ribosomal RNA". The record is from RNAcentral. Lineage: Bacteria; Pseudomonadati; Pseudomonadota; Gammaproteobacteria; Enterobacterales; Enterobacteriaceae.
UUAAGCGACUAAGCGUACACGGUGGAUGCCCUGGCAGUCAGAGGCGAUGAAGGACGUGCUAAUCUGCGAUAAGCGUCGGUGAGGUGAUAUGAACCGUUAUAACCGGCGAUUUCCGAAUGGGGAAACCCAGUGUGUUUCGACACACUAUCAUUAACUGAAUCCAUAGGUUAAUGAGGCGAACCGGGGGAACUGAAACAUCUAAGUACCCCGAGGAAAAGAAAUCAACCGAGAUUCCCCCAGUAGCGGCGAGCGAACGGGGAGGAGCCCAGAGCCUGAAUCAGUGUGUGUGUUAGUGGAAGCGUCUGGAAAGGCGUGCGAUACAGGGUGACAGCCCCGUACACAAAAAUGCACAUGCUGUGAGCUCGAUGAGUAGGGCGGGACACGUGGUAUCCUGUCUGAAUAUGGGGGGACCAUCCUCCAAGGCUAAAUACUCCUGACUGACCGAUAGUGAACCAGUACCGUGAGGGAAAGGCGAAAAGAACCCCGGCGAGGGGAGUGAAAAAGAACCUGAAACCGUGUACGUACAAGCAGUGGGAGCCUCUUAAUGGGGUGACUGCGUACCUUUUGUAUAAUGGGUCAGCGACUUAUAUUCUGUAGCAAGGUUAACCGAAUAGGGGAGCCGAAGGGAAACCGAGUCUUAACUGGGCGUUAAGUUGCAGGGUAUAGACCCGAAACCCGGUGAUCUAGCCAUGGGCAGGUUGAAGGUUGGGUAACACUAACUGGAGGACCGAACCGACUAAUGUUGAAAAAUUAGCGGAUGACUUGUGGCUGGGGGUGAAAGGCCAAUCAAACCGGGAGAUAGCUGGUUCUCCCCGAAAGCUAUUUAGGUAGCGCCUCGUGAAUUCAUCUCCGGGGGUAGAGCACUGUUUCGGCAAGGGGGUCAUCCCGACUUACCAACCCGAUGCAAACUGCGAAUACCGGAGAAUGUUAUCACGGGAGACACACGGCGGGUGCUAACGUCCGUCGUGAAGAGGGAAACAACCCAGACCGCCAGCUAAGGUCCCAAAGUCAUGGUUAAGUGGGAAACGAUGUGGGAAGGCCCAGACAGCCAGGAUGUUGGCUUAGAAGCAGCCAUCAUUUAAAGAAAGCGUAAUAGCUCACUGGUCGAGUCGGCCUGCGCGGAAGAUGUAACGGGGCUAAACCAUGCACCGAAGCUGCGGCAGCGACGCUUAUGCGUUGUUGGGUAGGGGAGCGUUCUGUAAGCCUGUGAAGGUGGCCUGUGAGGGUUGCUGGAGGUAUCAGAAGUGCGAAUGCUGACAUAAGUAACGAUAAAGCGGGUGAAAAGCCCGCUCGCCGGAAGACCAAGGGUUCCUGUCCAACGUUAAUCGGGGCAGGGUGAGUCGACCCCUAAGGCGAGGCCGAAAGGCGUAGUCGAUGGGAAACAGGUUAAUAUUCCUGUACUUGGUGUUACUGCGAAGGGGGGACGGAGAAGGCUAUGUUGGCCGGGCGACGGUUGUCCCGGUUUAAGCGUGUAGGCUGGUUUUCCAGGCAAAUCCGGAAAAUCAAGGCUGAGGCGUGAUGACGAGGCACUACGGUGCUGAAGCGACAAAUGCCCUGCUUCCAGGAAAAGCCUCUAAGCAUCAGGUAACAUCAAAUCGUACCCCAAACCGACACAGGUGGUCAGGUAGAGAAUACCAAGGCGCUUGAGAGAACUCGGGUGAAGGAACUAGGCAAAAUGGUGCCGUAACUUCGGGAGAAGGCACGCUGAUAUGUAGGUGAAGCGACUUGCUCGUGGAGCUGAAAUCAGUCGAAGAUACCAGCUGGCUGCAACUGUUUAUUAAAAACACAGCACUGUGCAAACACGAAAGUGGACGUAUACGGUGUGACGCCUGCCCGGUGCCGGAAGGUUAAUUGAUGGGGUUAGCGGUAACGCGAAGCUCUUGAUCGAAGCCCCGGUAAACGGCGGCCGUAACUAUAACGGUCCUAAGGUAGCGAAAUUCCUUGUCGGGUAAGUUCCGACCUGCACGAAUGGCGUAAUGAUGGCCAGGCUGUCUCCACCCGAGACUCAGUGAAAUUGAACUCGCUGUGAAGAUGCAGUGUACCCGCGGCAAGACGGAAAGACCCCGUGAACCUUUACUAUAGCUUGACACUGAACAUUGAGCCUUGAUGUGUAGGAUAGGUGGGAGGCUUUGAAGUGUGGACGCCAGUCUGCAUGGAGCCGACCUUGAAAUACCACCCUUUAAUGUUUGAUGUUCUAACGUUGGCCCGUAACCGGGGUUGCGGACAGUGUCUGGUGGGUAGUUUGACUGGGGCGGUCUCCUCCUAAAGAGUAACGGAGGAGCACGAAGGUUGGCUAAUCCUGGUCGGACAUCAGGAGGUUAGUGCAAUGGCAUAAGCCAGCUUGACUGCGAGCGUGACGGCGCGAGCAGGUGCGAAAGCAGGUCAUAGUGAUCCGGUGGUUCUGAAUGGAAGGGCCAUCGCUCAACGGAUAAAAGGUACUCCGGGGAUAACAGGCUGAUACCGCCCAAGAGUUCAUAUCGACGGCGGUGUUUGGCACCUCGAUGUCGGCUCAUCACAUCCUGGGGCUGAAGUAGGUCCCAAGGGUAUGGCUGUUCGCCAUUUAAAGUGGUACGCGAGCUGGGUUUAGAACGUCGUGAGACAGUUCGGUCCCUAUCUGCCGUGGGCGCUGGAGAACUGAGGGGGGCUGCUCCUAGUACGAGAGGACCGGAGUGGACGCAUCACUGGUGUUCGGGUUGUCAUGCCAAUGGCACUGCCCGGUAGCUAAAUGCGGAAGAGAUAAGUGCUGAAAGCAUCUAAGCACGAAACUUGCCCCGAGAUGAGUUCUCCCUGA